RNAcentral lists this ribosomal RNA (315 nucleotides) under Triticum aestivum (bread wheat). RNAcentral's name for it is "partial small subunit ribosomal RNA". Lineage: Eukaryota; Viridiplantae; Streptophyta; Magnoliopsida; Poales; Poaceae. The record is from RNAcentral.
AUGCAAAGUUUGAAAGGAAUGAAUUGGAAUCCGGGUGGUUUUGGUGACACAGCUAAGCAUUUAUUUGUUAAGGAAGCGAUUAGGGAACAUAAGUUAGAUUUCGUAGCCUUAUUGGAGACUGGGAGAUCGAACUUUUCUAUUCCAUUUCUGAAUCAGCUUGCUGCUGGUUACAACUAUACCUGGUUUUGCCUGCCACCUCAUGGUAGAUCUGGAGGUAUCCUAGUGGGGAUAAAUUCAGAUACACUUCAGGUUUUGAAAGUAAGUACAGGGGGUUUUUGUGUGAAGUUACAUAUUAAGUGUGAAGUUACAUAUUAA